GAGAGAGAUCAUAGCACCACCAACAGUGAUGAAGAUGCUGGUGCGCAUCCCCUAGAUCCCACAGUUCCUGUGGAUGACGAGGCCCAACCAGUGCUGCAGCAAGAGAGGGAGGAGUCUUCAGCUUUGGAGGAGAAGAAAGCUUGUGCCAAUAUAUAGAUCUGCUGAUAGCUACUCUUUCUAAAGUGUUCAAGGUGCCCAGCUGCUCCCUUACUCUCUCUGCAGCCAUCUUGUGCUGUCAGGCGAUCUAUUCUCCAAUCAAAAUCCUCUUCAGCACCUCAAGGAUUUCAGACUGCUCCAACUGCAUCUGUAACUUAGGACGACUGUUCAACUUUACUUGUUCAUUUUGCCUGUUUUAUGUUGACUGUUUUGGAGUUAUCAAAGUUUGAUAGAUCAUGGCAACAACACUGUUCACCUCGUUCAAGUUACCAGUUAAUUUAGUUUCCAGUUAAUGGCUGCUUUGAGAAGAUUAAGAAUGUAGAAGAUCACAGACUGCUGUCUAUUGAAUUUACAGAUUUCUUGACGGUCUGCCACUGUGCGUAAUCGUGCCACUACACUUUAUCUCACUC
Bufo gargarizans (Asiatic toad) is the source of this 566-nucleotide long non-coding RNA. RefSeq lists it as uncharacterized. The record is from RefSeq and is a predicted model, not a curated record. The transcript has 6 exons. Lineage: Eukaryota; Metazoa; Chordata; Amphibia; Anura; Bufonidae.